GCCUCGGAACACUGGUGUUUGCAGUAGCCCUGCAGGCAGAAGGCUAGAGCUCUCUUCCACCCUAGAGUGGUUUUAAGAAACCCCCCAGGAACUCUGCAAGACCUUGUGGCUUCGCCUAGGGGCCAAAUCUGGGGGAGAUCCCCAAUUAGGGGUGGAAUUUAAUCCCCUCUUCCACGUCAACAGGAUAGGCCUCUGAGUCUAAUUUAGAUAAGUCACAGGUUCCCACUGGAUAUAUCUCUUGUCGGGGUACCAGUCAGCAACUCUAUGGAGCAGCAAGCAACUCUAUGGAAAUUCUCAAAGGGGGAAAACAAUGACAAGAAGAAGAAGAAGAAGAAGAAGAAGAAGGAGAAGGAGAAGGAGAAGGAGAAGGAGAAGGAGAAGGAGAAGGAGAAGGAGAAGGAGAAGGAGAAAAGAAAAAUCCCACAGAGAGCAGCAUUGUUCCAGAGCUGGGGUCUUGGGCCAAAAUUUAGAUGUGGCAACACAGUGGUGGACAGGGCCUUACUCAGCUGGAGCUUGUGAAUAGCUUGAUUGGCAUUCUCUGCCUGGCCUGGGCUUUCAUUCAUCUGGCAUGGCUCAGCUGGGAACCCCCUUGAAAUUUCCAUUAAGGGAUCUCUCCUGCUGUGGGUGUGAUAUUGGCCAUUUCUUAGUUUUCUGUACAGCCAGAGAGCCAAGAAUGCUACCAACUAUGGGAUUAAACUCUA
Molecule: long non-coding RNA, 701 nt
Organism: Canis lupus familiaris (dog)
Lineage: Eukaryota; Metazoa; Chordata; Mammalia; Carnivora; Canidae
Exons: 3
Source: RefSeq, a predicted model, not a curated record